UACAGAGGUCCCGAGCGUUGUUCGGAUUUAUUGGGCGUAAAGGGUGCGUAGGCGGCGGAGUAAGUUGGGUGUGAAAUCCCGGGCUUAACCUCGGAAUUGCAUUCAAUACUGCUUCGCUUGAGUACUGGAGAGGAGGCUGGAAUUACGGUGUAGCAGUGAAAUGCGUAGAUAUCGUAAGGAAGGCCGGUGGCGAAAGCGAGCCUCUGGACAGUUACUGACGCUGAUGCACGAAGGCCAGGGAGCAAACGGG
This 250-nucleotide ribosomal RNA is filed under the name uncultured bacterium. Its description in RNAcentral is "partial 16S ribosomal RNA". It matches the Rfam family "Bacterial small subunit ribosomal RNA", at positions 524 to 776 of the family's 1533-position model. The record is from RNAcentral.